This 1445-nucleotide ribosomal RNA is filed under the name uncultured marine cyanobacterium. RNAcentral's name for it is "bacterial SSU rRNA". It matches the Rfam family "Bacterial small subunit ribosomal RNA". Lineage: Bacteria; Bacillati; Cyanobacteriota. The record is from RNAcentral.
GAGUUUGAUCAUGGCUCAGGAUGAACGCUGGCGGCGUGCUUAACACAUGCAAGUCGAACGAACCUUCGGGUUAGUGGCGGACGGGUGAGUAACGCGUGGGAAUCUGCCCUCAGGAGGGGGAUAACGGUUGGAAACGACCGCUAAUACCCCAUAUGCCGAGAGGUGAAAUGAAUUUCGCCUGAGGAUGAGCCCGCGUCUGAUUAGCUUGUUGGUGAGGUAAUGGCUCACCAAGGCUUCGAUCAGUAGCUGGUCUGAGAGGAUGAUCAGCCACACUGGGACUGAGACACGGCCCAGACUCCUACGGGAGGCAGCAGUGGGGAAUUUUCCGCAAUGGGCGAAAGCCUGACGGAGCAACGCCGCGUGAGGGACGAAGGCCUCUGGGCUGUAAACCUCUUUUCUCAAGGAAGAAGAUAUGACGGUACUUGAGGAAUAAGCCACGGCUAAUUCCGUGCCAGCAGCCGCGGUAAUACGGGAGUGGCAAGCGUUAUCCGGAAUUAUUGGGCGUAAAGCGUCCGCAGGCGGCUUUUCAAGUCUGCUGUUAAAACGUGGAGCUUAACUCCAUCAUGGCAGUGGAAACUGAUUGGCUUGAGUAUGGUAGGGGCAGAGGGAAUUCCCGGUGUAGCGGUGAAAUGCGUAGAUAUCGGGAAGAACACCAGUGGCGAAGGCGCUCUGCUGGGCCAUUACUGACGCUCAUGGACGAAAGCCAGGGGAGCGAAAGGGAUUAGAUACCCCUGUAGUCCUGGCCGUAAACGAUGAACACUAGGUGUCGGGGGAAUCGACCCCUUCGGUGUCGUAGCUAACGCGUUAAGUGUUCCGCCUGGGGAGUACGCACGCAAGUGUGAAACUCAAAGGAAUUGACGGGGGCCCGCACAAGCGGUGGAGUAUGUGGUUUAAUUCGAUGCAACGCGAAGAACCUUACCAGGGCUUGACAUCCUGCGAACCUUUAAGAAAUUAGAGGGUGCCUUCGGGAACGCAGUGACAGGUGGUGCAUGGCUGUCGUCAGCUCGUGUCGUGAGAUGUUGGGUUAAGUCCCGCAACGAGCGCAACCCACGUUUUUAGUUGCCAGCAUUUAGUUGGGCACUCUAGAAAGACCGCCGGUGAUAAACCGGAGGAAGGUGUGGAUGACGUCAAGUCAUCAUGCCCCUUACGUCCUGGGCUACACACGUACUACAAUGCUACGGACAAAGGGCAGCAAACUCGCGAGAGCUAGCAAAUCCCAUAAACCGUGGCUCAGUUCAGAUCGUAGGCUGCAACUCGCCUACGUGAAGUAGGAAUCGCUAGUAACCGCAGGUCAGCAUACUGCGGUGAAUACGUUCCCGGGCCUUGUACACACCGCCCGUCACACCAUGGAAGUUGGCCACGCCCGAAGUCGUUACUUUAACCCUUGUGGAGAAGGACGCCGAAGGUGGGGCUGAUGACUGGGGUGAAGUCGUAACAAGGUAACC